RNAcentral lists this ribosomal RNA (253 nucleotides) under uncultured bacterium. Its description in RNAcentral is "partial 16S ribosomal RNA". It matches the Rfam family "Bacterial small subunit ribosomal RNA", at positions 524 to 776 of the family's 1533-position model. The record is from RNAcentral.
UACGGAGGGUGCAAGCGUUAUCCGGAUUUACUGGGUUUAAAGGGUGCGUAGGUGGGUAAGUAAGUCAGUGGUGAAAUCUUCGAGCUUAACUCGGAAACUGCGUCGGAUACUAUUCGGCUGGAGGAAUGGAGGGGAGACUGGAAUACUUGGUGUAGCAGUGAAAUGCGUAGAUAUCAAGUGGAACACCAGUGGCGAAGGCGAGUCUCUGGACAUUUCCUGACGCUGAGGCACGAAGGCCAGGGGAGCAAACGGG